ACUCUGGGGCGGGACCUGCGGGAAGAUAGACAUGGGCUGUCGCGGCUUGAGGAGGGGCGGGGCCCAAGGGGCGGGACCUCGGGUGGCCCGAGGUGGCCCGGCUGCUGGGUUGGAAGCGGCGCAGUCCGACUCAUCCCGGCCCCGGGAUGGCGUCCCCACGGGAAUUGACACAGAACCCCCUGAAGAAGAUCUGGAUGCCAUACAGCAAUGGGCGGCCCGCUCUGCACGCUUGCCAGCGCGGUGUGUGCAUGACCAACUGCCCAACGCUCAUUGUCAUGGUGGGCCUGCCCGCCAGGGGCAAGACCUACAUCUCCAAGAAGCUGACUCGAUACCUGAACUGGAUUGGUGUGCCCACUCGGGAGUUCAAUGUUGGCCAGUAUCGCCGGGACGUGGUCAAGACCUACAAAUCUUUUGAAUUUUUUCUCCCCGACAAUGAAGAGGGCCUGAAAAUCAGGAAAUGAGGAAACUGAGGCUCAGACAGGCCAGGAGUCUCGCACAAAAUAGCAAGUUUACAUCAGCGUCCAGACUUGAAUCUAAGCCCAUCCACCGCUAAAAAGUGUCCAUCAUUCCAAUAUUCCUCAAUAGGCAGUGUGCCCUGGCAGCCCUCCGUGACGUCCGGCGGUUCCUUAGUGAGGAGGGGGGACAUGUGGCGGUUUUUGAUGCCACAAACACCACCCGAGAACGGAGAGCGACCAUCUUUAAUUUUGGAGAACAGAAUGGCUACAAGACCUUUUUUGUCGAGUCCAUCUGUGUGGAUCCUGAGGUCAUAGCUGCCAACAUCGUGCAAGUGAAACUGGGCAGCCCUGACUAUGUCAACCGCGACAGUGAUGAGGCUACGGAGGACUUCAUGAGGCGCAUUGAGUGCUAUGAGAACUCCUACGAGUCGCUAGAUGAGGACCUGGAUAGGGACCUGUCCUAUAUCAAGAUCAUGGAUGUGGGCCAGAGCUACGUGGUGAACCGUGUGGCUGACCACAUCCAGAGCCGCAUCGUAUAUUACCUCAUGAACAUCCACGUGACCCCCCGCUCCAUCUACCUCUGCCGGCACGGGGAGAGCGAGCUCAACCUCAAGGGCCGGAUUGGCGGGGACCCAGGACUGUCCCCUCGGGGCAGGGAGUUUGCCAAGAGUCUAGCCCAGUUCAUCAGUGACCAAAAUAUCAAGGAUCUGAAGGUCUGGACAAGCCAGAUGAAGAGGACAAUCCAGACGGCUGAGGCACUGGGUGUGCCCUAUGAACAGUGGAAGGUCCUCAACGAGAUCGAUGCGGGCGUCUGUGAGGAAAUGACCUACGAGGAAAUUCAGGAUAAUUAUCCACUGGAGUUCGCCCUGCGGGACCAGGACAAGUACCGGUACCGGUACCCUAAAGGGGAGUCCUACGAGGACCUGGUCCAGAGACUGGAGCCUGUCAUCAUGGAGCUGGAGAGGCAAGAGAAUGUGCUGGUCAUCUGCCACCAGGCUGUGAUGCGCUGCCUGCUGGCCUACUUCCUCGACAAGGCAGCAGAACAGCUGCCCUACCUCAAGUGUCCACUGCACACAGUCCUGAAGCUGACUCCUGUGGCAUAUGGUUGUAAAGUGGAGUCCAUAUUCCUGAACGUGGCCGCUGUGAACACGCACCGGGACAGGCCUCAGAACGUGGACAUCUCGAGACCUCCAGAGGAAGCCCUUGUCACGGUGCCUGCUCACCAGUGACCAUGUUCAUCCACUGUGACCACUAGGCAGGCACUGCUCUCUGCAGAGGGGGUCAUUCCAGGCCCUCCAGUGU
RNAcentral lists this small RNA (1757 nucleotides) under Pan troglodytes (chimpanzee). RNAcentral describes it as "processed transcript". The record is from RNAcentral. Lineage: Eukaryota; Metazoa; Chordata; Mammalia; Primates; Hominidae.